AUUGAACGCUGGCGGCAUGCUUUACACAUGCAAGUCGAACGGCAGCGCGGGCUUCGGCCUGGCGGCGCGUGGCGAACGGGUGAGUAAUACAUCGGAACGUGCCCAGCAGUGGGGGAUAGCUCUGCGAAAGCCGGAUUAAUACCGCAUACGACCUGAGGGUGAAAGCGGGGGAUCUUCGGACCUCGCGCUUUUGGAGCGGCCGAUGGCAGAUUAGCUCGUUGGUGGGGUAAUGGCCUACCAAGGCGACGAUCUGUAGCUGGUCUGAGAGGACGACCGGCCCCCCUGGGAGUGAGACACGGCCCAGACUCCUACGGGAGGCAGCAGUGGGGAAUUUUGGGCAACAGGCGAAAGCCUGAUCCAGCAAUGCCGCGUGUGUGAUGAAGGCCUUCGGGGUGUAAAGCACUUUUGGCGGGAACGAAAACCACUGUGCCAAUACCACGCUUCGAUGACGGUACCCGCAGAAUAAGCACCGGCUAACUACGUG
RNAcentral lists this ribosomal RNA (484 nucleotides) under uncultured bacterium. RNAcentral's name for it is "partial 16S ribosomal RNA". It matches the Rfam family "Bacterial small subunit ribosomal RNA", at positions 28 to 507 of the family's 1533-position model. The record is from RNAcentral.